This is a non-coding RNA of Solanum lycopersicum (tomato), 87 nucleotides long. NCBI's taxonomy places the organism in Eukaryota, Viridiplantae, Streptophyta, Magnoliopsida, Solanales, Solanaceae. The record is from Rfam.
UAGGUGGAUUUGAGGACUUCAACUUGCAUAUUUGGAAGAUUUUGAAGACUUCUACAUGCACAUUUGGAAGAUUUGAAGACUUCGACU